AGAGGUGGCAAGCGUUGUUCGGAAUUACUGGGCGUAAAGGGCGCGUAGGCGGUCUUGCAAGUCCUGUGUGAAAUCCCUCGGCUCAACUGAGGAACUGCACAGGGAACUGCUUGGCUUGAGUUCGGGAGAGGGAAGCGGAAUUCCGGGUGUAGCGGUGAAAUGCGUAGAUAUCCGGAGGAACACCGGUGGCGAAGGCGGCUUCCUGGACCGACACUGACGCUGAGGCGCGAAAGCUAGGGGAGCAAACGGGAUUAGAUACCCCGGUAGUCCUAGCUGUAAACGAUGAGCGCUGGGUGUGGCGGGUAUUAACCCCUGCUGUGCCGAAGCUAACGCAUUAAGCGCUCCGCCUGGGGAGUACGGUCGCAAGGCUG
Molecule: ribosomal RNA, 371 nt
Filed under: uncultured bacterium
Lineage: Bacteria
Description: bacterial SSU rRNA
Rfam family: Bacterial small subunit ribosomal RNA
Source: RNAcentral